Long non-coding RNA from Spea bombifrons (plains spadefoot toad), 1152 nucleotides. RefSeq lists it as uncharacterized. The record is from RefSeq and is a predicted model, not a curated record. The transcript has 2 exons. Lineage: Eukaryota; Metazoa; Chordata; Amphibia; Anura; Pelobatidae.
UAAACAGGGUUCAACUUAUUUCAUGUAUGAUGCAAGAUGUUUAACUGCACUUUAGAAGGCAGAGCAAUUUGUCCACAAAUCUGUGCUAAGACAGGCGAGUUAGAUAAGAAAAAUGCAAAUGUAUGUGAUUAGUACAACUGCCAAAGGUGAGUUCCAUACAUCCAUGGCAGAAUAAAAAGCACAAAUGGCAUUAUCUUGUAAUUUAAUAAACAUGUGUGUAUUCCAGAACAAUGUUUAUUUUUAAAUAUUAUUCUAUUUGUAACUUGGUAAACACAAAACACAAUGAUACCAAUAAUUAUGCCCCAAAAUGGGGCUCAAAUGAGCUCAGGAGGUCGCAGGUCUCAAACUAAGUCGCAGAGCCACCCAUGUUCAUCGAUUUUUUUGUUUUGCUCAAAAUAAAAAAAAUGUCACGCACAGAUACUUUAUCUAUGGAUCCUGUUAUUUUCCAGUUGCCUUUAAUUUAACCAAAUCUAUCAAAAAGCCAGUUAAUUACAAGACCAAACUUACAGUAACUCAGGCGCCCCUAACUUGCCAUAGAAAAGUCUAUGCAGAUAUUUUAGAAGUAGCAAAUAAUGCGUUUCUGUUAAAUCUGUUGCGACAUUUUGUGACGUUAUUCUUUCUUUAAAUACUUGAAAUUAUUCGCUAAAUUAUAUUUUGCAAGAAAAAGUGAAUGCCAUUCACAUCAAAAUAACAAAAAAAAAAAAGAUAAUUCCACAUGAAAAAUACUCACUUGGACGCUACUAACUUUAGUGACCCACACAAAUACACUGUGAACUGGAAGGAAUCUUUCCAUUAAAUUAAUGUAGGUGUUUAUAUUCAUUACACAUAAAUUCAUAAACCAAUAUAACUUAUUUAAUUUCGAGUGUCAGAAUCUUAUUUAUAGUAACAGCAGUCUAAAAUAUAUUAACAUAUAAAAAAAAUAAAUAUUAAAUAUACUUACGGGAUCUUUUUUUAUUGCAAUACAACAUUUAUUGGUAUUUGAUUGGUAACAUAUAUUUUGUAUAUAUUUUAAGGUUUCAUUUGAAUUAAUAUUGAAUAUUGUAUUAACAGUUUAUACAAAUGUCCCUAUUUUUGCAAAUGUUUGUUAUUUUGACAUACUUAUUGGUUUUGUAAUCUGACUUCAUUAAGAAUAAAUUUGAAAUGUAAUGAAAA